AGGUCAGUAGGUUGGUCGUGCCACCGGUACGUACUGGUCUCACUGAUUCCUCCUUCCUGAAGAACCGUAAUGCCAUUAAUUUGGUGUUGCGGGGAAACAGGACUGUUACUUUGAAAAAAUUAGAGUGUUUAAAGCAAGCUAACGCUUGAAUACAUUAGCAUGGAAUAAUGAAAUAGGACGAUCGAUCCUAUUUUGUUGGUUUCUAGGAUUGACGCA
This 216-nucleotide ribosomal RNA is filed under the name Glomeromycotina sp. RNAcentral describes it as "partial small subunit ribosomal RNA". The stretch from base 40 to 216 matches the Rfam family "Eukaryotic small subunit ribosomal RNA", at positions 686 to 864 of the family's 1831-position model. Lineage: Eukaryota; Fungi; Glomeromycota. The record is from RNAcentral.